UGAGGAAUAUUGGUCAAUGGACGAGAGUCUGAACCAGCCAAGUAGCAUGAAGGAUGACUGCCCUAUGGGUUGUAAACUUCUUUUAUAUGGGAAUAAAAUGUUCCACGUGUGGGAUUUUGUAUGUACCAUAUGAAUAAGGAUCGGCUAACUCCGUGCCAGCAGCCGCGGUAAUACGGAGGAUCCGAGCGUUAUCCGGAUUUAUUGGGUUUAAAGGGAGCGUAGGUGGAUUGUUAAGUCAGUUGUGAAAGUUUGCGGCUCAACCGUAAAAUUGCAGUUGAAACUGGCAGUCUUGAGUACAGUAGAGGUGGGCGGAAUUCGUGGUGUAGCGGUGAAAUGCUUAGAUAUCACGAAGAACUCCGAUUGCGAAGGCAGCUCACUGGACUGCAACUGACACUGAGGCUCGAAAGUGUGGGUAUCAAACAGG
RNAcentral lists this ribosomal RNA (424 nucleotides) under uncultured bacterium. RNAcentral describes it as "bacterial SSU rRNA". It matches the Rfam family "Bacterial small subunit ribosomal RNA", at positions 355 to 776 of the family's 1533-position model. The record is from RNAcentral.